GGGCUGGCUUUAGCCCAGCGGUUCCUUCAAAUCUGGCUUCCCAACCGCCUGGGCCAAUUGGUCCGGUGGUUCAAGACCCGCGGGUGCUCUCCAGUCCUUUU
Cavia aperea (Brazilian guinea pig) is the source of this 101-nucleotide unclassified non-coding RNA. Its record names the gene Vault. It matches the Rfam family "Vault RNA". From Rfam's summary of the family: This family of RNAs are found as part of the enigmatic vault ribonucleoprotein complex. The complex consists of a major vault protein (MVP), two minor vault proteins (VPARP and TEP1), and several small untranslated RNA molecules. The record is from Ensembl. Lineage: Eukaryota; Metazoa; Chordata; Mammalia; Rodentia; Caviidae.